GACGAACGCUGGCGGCGUGCUUAACACAUGCAAGUCGAACGGAAAGGCCCUGCUUUUGUGGGGUGCUCGAGUGGCGAACGGGUGAGUAACACGUGAGUAACCUGCCCUUGACUUUGGGAUAACUUCAGGAAACUGGGGCUAAUACCGGAUAGGAGCUCCUGCUGCAUGGUGGGGGUUGGAAAGUUUCGGCGGUUGGGGAUGGACUCGCGGCUUAUCAGCUUGUUGGUUGGGUAGUGGCUUACCAAGGCUUUGACGGGUAGCCGGCCUGAGAGGGUGACCGGCCCCAUUGGGACUGAGAUACGGCCCAGACUCCUACGGGAGGCAGCGGUGGGGAAGAUUGCACAAUGGGCGGAAGCAUGAUGCAGUAACGCCGCGUGCGGGAUGACGGCCUGCGGGUUGUAAACCGCUUUCGCCUGUGACGAAGCGUGAGUGACGGUAAUGGGUAAAGAAGCACCGGCUAACUACGUG
This 468-nucleotide ribosomal RNA is filed under the name uncultured bacterium. RNAcentral's name for it is "partial 16S ribosomal RNA". It matches the Rfam family "Bacterial small subunit ribosomal RNA", at positions 28 to 507 of the family's 1533-position model. The record is from RNAcentral.